Molecule: small nuclear RNA, 332 nt
Filed under: Neogale vison (American mink)
Lineage: Eukaryota; Metazoa; Chordata; Mammalia; Carnivora; Mustelidae
Description: Neovison vison (American mink) 7SK RNA (ENSNVIG00000011933.1)
Rfam family: 7SK RNA
About the family: 7SK was discovered as an abundant small nuclear RNA in the mid-70s but a possible function has only recently been suggested. Two independent studies have found that 7SK RNA binds the CDK9/cyclin T complex (known as elongation factor P-TEFb). P-TEFb activates transcription by phosphorylating the C-terminal domain of RNA polymerase II.
Source: Rfam by way of RNAcentral
GGAUGUGAGGGUGAUCUGGCUGCGACAUCUGUUGCCCUAUUGAUUGCUAGGGUUGAUUUGGCUGAUCUGGCUGGCUAGGUAGGUGUCCCCUUUCUCCCUCACUGCUCCAUGUGCAUCCCUCCCAAAGCUGUGUGCUGGGUUGAAGAGGACGACCUUCUCUGAUAAAGGAGAGGACCAUUCUUUGGUCAAGGUAUAGGAGUAGUUACGCUCCCCUGCUAGAACCUCCAAACAAGCUCUCAAGAAAUCCUGGACUUGACUUUUAAGGAGACUCAUGAAGCUAGGAAGGCAAGGCAAAGACUUACCAUCUGGCAUUGUCUAGGAUACCUAUAGAU